RNAcentral lists this ribosomal RNA (465 nucleotides) under uncultured bacterium. Its description in RNAcentral is "partial 16S ribosomal RNA". It matches the Rfam family "Bacterial small subunit ribosomal RNA", at positions 338 to 795 of the family's 1533-position model. The record is from RNAcentral.
CCUACGGGCGGCAGCAGUGGGGAAUAUUGCGCAAUGGGCGAAAGCCUGACGCAGCGACGCCGCGUGAGGGAUGAAGGUCUUCUGAUCGUAAACCUCUGUCAGCAGGGAAGAACGGUCACUGUGCUAAUCAGCAGUGAAUUGACGGUACCUGCAAAGGAAGCACCGGCUAACUCCGUGCCAGCAGCCGCGGUAAUAGGGAGGGUGCGUGCGUUGAUCGGAAUUACUGGGCGUAAAGCGCUCGUAGGCGGUAUGUCAAGUCAAGGGUGAAAUCCCCGCGCUCAACGUGGGAACUGCCUUUGAAACUGGCAAACUGGAGAGUGUGAGAGGAAGGCGGAAUUCAUGGUGUAGGGGUGAAAUCCGUAGAUAUCUGGAGGAACAUCAGUGGCGAAGGCGACUAUCUGGCACAUAACUGACGCUGAGGAACGAAAGCGUGGGUAGCAAACAGGAUUAGAUACCCUAGUAGUC